RNAcentral lists this ribosomal RNA (2060 nucleotides) under sediment metagenome. Its description in RNAcentral is "bacterial LSU rRNA". It matches the Rfam family "Bacterial large subunit ribosomal RNA", at positions 3 to 1979 of the family's 2925-position model. The record is from RNAcentral.
UCAAGCUACUAAGGGCGUACGGUGAAUGCCUUGGCGCUAGGAGUCGAUGAAGGACGUGGUAAGCUGCGAUAAGCUUCGGUGAGCCGCAAACAGGCUUUGACCCGAGGAUUUCCGAAUGGGGAAACCCGAUCAGGCUAAUCCCUGAUUAUCCACGGCUGAAUACAUAGGCCGUGAGAAGACAACCCGGGGAAGUGAACCAUCUCAGUACCCGGAGGAAGAGAAAACAACCGUGAUUCCGAUAGUAGUGGCGAGCGAACUCGGAACAGCCUAAACCGUGCGAUUCGAAAGGAGAGCCCGGGGUCGUAGGACCACAAUCAUGCCGAAUUUCUGUUCCGGGCCGCGACCGCGAGGGAGCGGAAGAGGAGCAGGGAUUCGGGAUGAAACGAAUGAUAAGGGAGCGUUAGGAGAACGGCAUGGGAAGGCCGGCCAGAGAGGGUGAGAGCCCCGUAUCUGAAAAUGCAAUCUUCGUUCAAGUGGUUCCUGAGUACCGCGGGACACGUGGAACCCUGCGGGAAUCUACCGGGACCAUCCGGUAAGGCUAAAUACUCGUUUGUGACCGAUAGUGAACCAGUACCGUGAGGGAAAGGCGAAAAGAACCCCUGUGAGGGGAGUGAAAUAGAACCUGAAACCGUAUGCGUACAAGCAGUGGGAGCCUCGAAAGGGGUGACUGCGUACCUUUUGUAUAAUGGGUCAGCGAGUUACUUUUAGUGGCGAGCUUAACCGUCUUGGGUAGGCGUAGGGAAACCGAGUCUUAAUAGGGCGUUUAGUCGCUAGGAGUAGACCCGAAACCAGUCGAUCUAUCCAUGGCCAGGGUGAAGGUGGGGUAAUUCCCACUGGAGGCCCGAACCGGGAUCUGUUGAAAAAGAUUCGGAUGAGCUGUGGAUAGGAGUGAAAGGCUAAUCAAGGCUGGAGAUAGCUGGUUCUCCCCGAAAGCUAUUUAGGUAGCGCCUCGUGUAUCACUCUUGGGGGUAGAGCACUGUUUCGGCUAGGGCUGCGUCUAGCGGUACCAAACCGAUGCAAACUCCGAAUACCAAGAAGUGUAAUCACGGGAGACACACGGCGGGUGCUAACGUCCGUCGUGAAGAGGGCAACAACCCAGACCGCCAGCUAAGGUCCCAAAAUUACAGUUAAGUGGAAAACGAUGUGGAAAGUCUCAGACAGCCAGGAGGUUGGCUUAGAAGCAGCCAUCCUUUAAAGAAAGCGUAAUAGCUCACUGGUCGAGUCGGUCCGCGCGGAAGAUUUAACGGGGCUAAACUGUAUACCGAAGCUGCGGAUGCGUAGCAAUACGCGUGGUAGGGGAGCGUUCUGUACGCCUGUGAAGGUGGAUCGAGAGGUCUGCUGGAGGUAUCAGAAGUGCGAAUGCUGACAUGAGUAACGAUAAAACGGGUGAAAAACCCGUUCGCCGAAAGCCCAAGGUUUCCUGCGCAACGGUAAUCGUCGCAGGGUGAGUCGGCUCCUAAGGCGAGGCCGAAAGGCGUAGUCGAUGGGAAACAGGUUAAUAUUCCUGUACCUUGCAUUACUGCGAUGGGGGGACGGAGUAGGUUAGGCCAGCCGGGUGUUGGAUAUCCCGGUUUAAGCAUGUAGGGAGCAUCUUUUGGCAAAUCCGAAGGUGCAAUUCCGAGGUGUGAUGACGAGUUCCUUUUUGGGAACGAAGUGGUUGAUACCAAACUUCCAGGAAAAGCCUCUAAGCUUCAGGUAAUGCGAGACCGUACCGGAAACCGACACAGGUGGGCAGGGAGAGAAUCCUAAGGCGCUUGAGAGAACUCUGGUGAAGGAACUAGGCAAAUUAGCACCGUAACUUCGGGAUAAGGUGCGCCCUUGGUAUGUGAAGGACCUCGCGUCCGGAGCAGAUAAGGGUUGCAGUGAUUAGGUGGUUGCGACUGUUUAUUAAAAACACAGCACUCUGCAAACACGAAAGUGGACGUAUAGGGUGUGAUGCCUGCCCGGUGCCGGAAGGUUAAUUGAUGGGGUUAGCGAAAGCGAAGCUCUUGAUCGAAGCCCCGGUAAACGGCGGCCGUAACUAUAACGGUCCUAAGGUAGCGAAAUUCCUUGUCGGGUAA